UUCGGAAUAGAAGAGAAGACCAUGGAGGCGUCAGCAUUGGGUAUAACACUGUUACGGAAGCCCUGCCUUUAGGGACGGUAAAACCACCACACAGUAACGGAGAGGAUCGGUAAAGGUAGACACCGGGAAGCUGAGAAUCUGAUAUCUGGGACGAAAAGUCAACAUACAUAACCUGCCUCAAGGUUGAAUGUUUUAUUGGUGAAGAUUUUCAAAGCCAUUUCCAUAUGAAUAUACAACAGUAUCGAGUAGCAAAAGAAAAUGAAUGUAAAAUCGUGGUAUUUUAAUAAAACGGUUCAGUCGCUUUAACGUCAAUUAUUGGUUAAUUGUUUUUUUCAAAGUAUUCCAUAUUUAAGCUUCCCGUUACCAAGUUUCUUAAGAGAUGACACAAGUCACCUUACACCCCUGAAACCUCGGGACUAAUAUUAGAUAGUGACUUAAUCAAAUGAAAAUCCCCUGUCAUAUUUAAGGGUAUGUAUAAUUUCAAAACUUAUUUCCGAAAGUCGCAAGUAUUUAAUCAAAUAUUGUAAUUUUGUAUUUGUUUUGGGAAAGGGCGUUGAUAAGUUGCAAAAACUUGUGCCCAAUCCUUUUGUACAUUUUGACAAUAAAAUAUGUUUGAAUAAAAAAAAAAGUAUUUAAUCUCAACGGGGUUUAAUCCACAUAAUCGUAUUUUACGAGGGCAAAACAGUGACAUGGAACGUCCAGGUAACAAUAGUGGUUCAACCUACAAAUUUAGGAAAACAAUAUAUUGCGACCUUUUACCUUGCGGUGAAGGUCAGGGUCACCAAAUGACAGUGAACUCUGUAACACCUGUCAAUGAUGUAGAAAUAUAUGGAGCGUUAUCACUGUAAUAUUAACGGUUCAGAAGUUAUGGUUAGGACAAUUUUAUAUUUGAGAAAGAUGAGAAAAAGAAAAAAAAUUCAUUAUGGCCACUUUCAAUUGAAGGAAAAACAUCAAUAUAAAAACACACGAACAAUAAUAUAUCUAUUUAAAUGAAAAAUUUAAUAAAAUAUAUUUCAUAUCAUGAAAUCGACAAUAGAUAUACAUAUAAUUGAGUAUCAUAAUCAUUUGUGACACAAUAUUUGACAAAAACACGGAACGUGGGACAGGACAGGAUAAUGAAUUGGUGGUCUGGGUAAAUACAAUCAAGAGUACUAAUUAAGUGAACAAGUCUCAUGCGAACGUUUUGUCUCUUUAUGCCUCAUUCAAAUAUUUUCACUCGGUCUCAUACAAAUAGUUUCCAUGCUUCAUACAAUAAGAGGAUCAGAAAAAGAACUUUAAAAUUUGCUAUAUGUCCGCAUGACCCUGCGGCAAGACCAAUCAUUCAUACUUAAUUGGUUCCAGUAACCAAAUUAUGCUUCAGAUCAACAUCAUUUCAUUCCGACACAAGAA
Long non-coding RNA from Pecten maximus, 1389 nucleotides. RefSeq lists it as uncharacterized. Lineage: Eukaryota; Metazoa; Mollusca; Bivalvia; Pectinida; Pectinidae. The transcript is spliced from 2 exons. The record is from RefSeq and is a predicted model, not a curated record.